RNAcentral lists this ribosomal RNA (259 nucleotides) under uncultured Stenotrophomonas sp. RNAcentral describes it as "partial 16S ribosomal RNA". It matches the Rfam family "Bacterial small subunit ribosomal RNA", at positions 97 to 355 of the family's 1533-position model. Lineage: Bacteria; Pseudomonadati; Pseudomonadota; Gammaproteobacteria; Lysobacterales; Lysobacteraceae. The record is from RNAcentral.
CGGGACGGGGUGGAGGAAUACAUCGGAAUCUACUCUGUCGGUGGGGGAGUAACGUAGGGAAACUUACGCUAAUACCGCAUACGACCUACGGGUGAAAGCAGGGGAUCUUCGGACCUUGCGCGAUUGAAUGAGCCGAUGUCGGAUUAGCUAGUUGGCGGGGUAAAGGCCCACCAAGGCGACGAUCCGUAGCUGGUCUGAGAGGAUGAUCAGCCACACUGGAACUGAGACACGGUCCAGACUCCUACGGGAGGCAGCAGUC